CUUGAAACCAAUCCUAGGGGGUUCGAUUCCUUCCUUUC
RNAcentral lists this transfer RNA (38 nucleotides) under Martes americana caurina. RNAcentral describes it as "partial tRNA-Ser". Lineage: Eukaryota; Metazoa; Chordata; Mammalia; Carnivora; Mustelidae. The record is from RNAcentral.